CCUACGUGAGGCAGCAGUGGGGAAUAUUGCGCAAUGGGCGAAAGCCUGACGCAGCGACGCCGCGUGAGGGAUGAAGGUCUUCGGAUCGUAAACCUCUGUCAGCAGGGAAGAACGGUCACUGUGCUAAUCAGCAGUGAAUUGACGGUACCUGCAAAGGAAGCACCGACUAACUCCGUGCCAGCAGCCACGGUAAUACGGAGGGUGAGAGCGUUAAUCGGAAUUACUGGGCGGAAAGCGCUCGUAGGCGGUAUGUCAAGUCAAGGGUGAAAUCCCCGCGCUCAACGUGGGAACUGCCUUUGAAACUGGCAAACUGGAGUGUGUGAGAGGAUAGUGGAAUUCCAGGUGUAGGAGUGAAAUCCGUAGAUAUCUGGAGGAACAUCAGUGGCGAAGGCGACUAUCUGGCACAUAACUGACGCUGAGGAGCGAAAGCGUGGGUAGCAAACAGGAUUAGAUACCCGUGUAGUC
Molecule: ribosomal RNA, 465 nt
Filed under: uncultured bacterium
Lineage: Bacteria
Description: partial 16S ribosomal RNA
Rfam family: Bacterial small subunit ribosomal RNA
Source: RNAcentral